UACGUAGGGUGCAAGCGUUGUCCGGAAUUAUUGGGCGUAAAAGAGCUCGUAGGCGGUUUUGUUGCGUCGGCUGUGAAAUCCCGAGGCUCAACCUCGGGUCUGCAGUCGAUACGAGCAAACUAGAGUGUUGCAGGGGGAGACUGGAAUUCCUGGUGUAGCGGUGAAAUGCGCAGAUAUCAGGAGGAACACCGGUGGGCGAAGGCGGGUCUCUGGGCAACAACUGACGCUGGAGGAGCGAAAGCGUGGGGAGCGAACAGG
This 258-nucleotide ribosomal RNA is filed under the name uncultured bacterium. Its description in RNAcentral is "partial 16S ribosomal RNA". It matches the Rfam family "Bacterial small subunit ribosomal RNA", at positions 524 to 776 of the family's 1533-position model. The record is from RNAcentral.